GACGAACGCGGCGGCGUGCUUAACACAUGCAAGUCGAACGGAGCGAAUGAAAGCUUGCUUUUAUAAGCUUAGUGGCAAACGGGUGAGUAACACGUAGGCAACCUGCCGACAGGAUGGGGACAACAUUCCGAAAGGAAUGCUAAUACCGAAUGAAGCGCAGGAGAGGCAUCUCUCCUGCGUGAAAGAUGGCCUCUAUAUAUAAGCUAUCACCUGUCGAUGGGCCUGCGUCUGAUUAGCUGGUAGGUGAGGUAACGGCUCACCUAGGCGACGAUCAGUAGCCGGUCUGAGAGGAUGAACGGCCACAUUGGGACUGAGACACGGCCCAGACUCCUACGGGAGGCAGCAGUGGGGAAUCUUCCGCAAUGGGCGCAAGCCUGACGGAGCAACGCCGCGUGAGUGAAGAAGGUCUUCGGAUCGUAAAGCUCUGUUGAUGGGGACGAACGUGCCUAAUGCGAAUAGUAUUAGUAAUGACG
Molecule: ribosomal RNA, 473 nt
Filed under: Centipeda noxia
Lineage: Bacteria; Bacillati; Bacillota; Negativicutes; Selenomonadales; Selenomonadaceae
Description: bacterial SSU rRNA
Rfam family: Bacterial small subunit ribosomal RNA
Source: RNAcentral